Molecule: ribosomal RNA, 1390 nt
Filed under: Leptobrachium xanthospilum
Lineage: Eukaryota; Metazoa; Chordata; Amphibia; Anura; Megophryidae
Description: partial 16S ribosomal RNA
Rfam family: Bacterial large subunit ribosomal RNA
Source: RNAcentral
UCAAUUAUCCCCCUAGCCUAACCAUUUUAACAUAAAUUAAUAAACUUCAAUUAAAACUAACUAAAACAUUUUUUACCUUAAGUAUUUGUGAAAAAAAAAGAAACUAAGAGCAAUAAUAAUAGUACCGCAAGGGAAAGGUGAAAUAAUAAUGAAAUAAUGUUUAAUAUGAAAAAGCAAAGAUUAAAUCUUGUACCUUUUGCAUCAUGGCCUAACAAGUCUAACCAGGCAUAAUGAGUUUUAGUCUGACCCCCCGAAACUAAGUGAGCUACUCCGGAGCAUGUAAUAACCCGUCUCUGUGGCAAAAGAGUGGGAAGACUCCCGAGUAGAAGCGAAAAACCUAUCGAACUUAGUGAUAGCUGGUUGCUCAAGAAAAGAAUUUUAGUUCUGUCUUAAAAAUUUAAAGCAAUAACAAGCUAAUUUUAAGGAUUACUCAAUUAGGGUACAGCCUAAUUGAAACAGGGUACAACCUAAAUUUUAGGAUAAUGAUUUAAUCUAAAAAGUCAAAGACUAAGUCGGCUUAAAAGCAGCCAUCUUUUAAAAAGCGUCAAAGCUUCGUCUUAUAACUACUUAUAUUUUAUUAAUUUUUCAAAAUCCGAUACUACUACUGAGCUAUUCCAUACUUCUAUGGAAUUAUUAAUGUUAGGACUAGUAACACAGAAUUAUUUCUCUUCCAUGUAAGUAUAAAUCAGUCCGGAUACCCCACUGAUAACCACCCAGAUUUGACUAAAUAGUAAUUUAAUUCCCAUGAAAACACUACUUUCCUUCCUGUUGACCUAACACAAGAACAUGUAAGAAAGAUUAAAAGACUAAGAAGGAACUCGGCAAACACUAGUCUCGCCUGUUUACCAAAAACAUCGCCUUAUGAAAAUUAUAUAAGGUAACGCCUGCCCAGUGAUAUAUUUCAACGGCCGCGGUAUUCUGACCGUGCGAAGGUAGCGUAAUCAUUUGUCUUUUAAAUAAAGACUUGUAUGAAUGGCAUCACGAAGACUUAACUGUCUCCCUAGUCCUAUCAGUGAAACUGAUCUUCCCGUGCAAAAGCGGGAAUAAAACCAUAAGACGAGAAGACCCUAUGGAGCUUAAAACUAAAAUCUAAUUAUACUAUUCUAUUAAAUUAAUUAAUACUAUAUUGUAUAAACUUAAUUUAAGUUUUCAGUUGGGGUGACUGUGGAGAAGAACUUAUCCUCCAUGUAGAAUCAAGUUUUGAGCUACUACUCUUAGCAUUAGCAAGCCUAACUUUACUUGAUCCAAUAAUUUUGAUCAACGGACCAAGUUACCCUAGGGAUAACAGCGCAAUCCAUUUCAAGAGUCCAUAUCGACAAAUGGGUUUACGACCUCGAUGUUGGAUUAGGACACCCUGGUGGUGCAGCCGCUACUGAUGGUUCGUUUGUCA